GCCGAUGCCAAACCCAAUUC
Molecule: unclassified non-coding RNA, 20 nt
Filed under: Dictyostelium discoideum
Lineage: Eukaryota; Evosea; Eumycetozoa; Dictyosteliales; Dictyosteliaceae
Source: RNAcentral